This 425-nucleotide ribosomal RNA is filed under the name uncultured bacterium. RNAcentral describes it as "bacterial SSU rRNA". It matches the Rfam family "Bacterial small subunit ribosomal RNA", at positions 356 to 773 of the family's 1533-position model. The record is from RNAcentral.
GGGGAAUUUUGGACAAUGGGGGCAACCCUGAUCCAGCCAUGCCGCGUGCGGGAAGAAGGCCUUCGGGUUGUAAACCGCUUUUAGUCGGGAAGAAAAGAUCACGGAUAACACCUGUGGUUCUUGACGGUACCGGCGGAAUAAGCACCGGCUAACUACGUGCCAGCAGCCGCGGUAAUACGUAGGGUGCGAGCGUUAAUCGGAAUUACUGGGCGUAAAGCGUGCGCAGGCGGUUCGUUAAGUUCGAUGUGAAAGCCCCGGGCUCAACCUGGGAACUGCAUUGGAAACUGGCGAGCUUGAGUGUGGCAGAGGGGGGUGGAAUUCCGCGUGUAGCAGUGAAAUGCGUAGAGAUGCGGAGGAACACCGAUGGCGAAGGCAGCCCCCUGGGCCAACACUGACGCUCAGGCACGAAAGCGUGGGGAGCAAAC